CACAGCACCCGGGACCACACGAACCACUCCAGAGGAGAGCCCAGUCCUUCUGAAGCCCCAGCAGUCAUUUCAGCACAUAGCAAAAUGCCUAAAAGUGUUUCAAUAUCUAAACAACUGGCUUCAAUAAAAGCUUUGAAAAGGGGGUCAGAUCUGGAAAAAGCCAUGGCUACUAUUGCUCUGGUUUUCAGAAAUGCUUCUGAUCCUGAUGGUAAACUUGGGAAAGCCACUGCCAAGAAUCUGCUUCAAACCCAAUUUAGGAAUUUCACUGAGCAUCUCUAAAUAUGAAGUUUAUACACAAUGGAGGUUCACUUCUUUAUCUUCAGAGAGAGGAAACCAAGCCAAAAUCCCGAGACCUCCUUUCUGAGCUUGAUGAGCACACAGAAAAGAAGCUGGACUUUGAAGACUUCGUGAUCUUGCUCCUGAGCCUCGCCAUCAUGUCAGAUCUGCUACAAAAUAUAUGGAGUGAAAAUACUAUGAAAUAAACAACUUUAAACACAUGAGC
RNAcentral lists this long non-coding RNA (502 nucleotides) under Rattus norvegicus (Norway rat). RNAcentral's name for it is "long non-coding RNA NONRATT010772". The record is from RNAcentral. Lineage: Eukaryota; Metazoa; Chordata; Mammalia; Rodentia; Muridae.